UACGUAGGGUGCGAGCGUUAAUCGGAAUUACUGGGCGUAAAGCGCGCGCAGGCGGUUUCUUAAGUCAGAUGUGAAAGCCCCGGGCUUAACCUGGGAACUGCGUUUGAAACUGGGAGACUUGAGUGUGGCAGAGGGGGGUGGAAUUCCACGUGUAGCAGUGAAAUGCGUAGAUAUCGUAAGGAAGACCAGUGGCGAAGGCGGGUCUCUGGACAGUUCCUGACGCUGAGGCACGAAGGCCAGGGGAGCAAACGGG
This 253-nucleotide ribosomal RNA is filed under the name uncultured bacterium. Its description in RNAcentral is "partial 16S ribosomal RNA". It matches the Rfam family "Bacterial small subunit ribosomal RNA", at positions 524 to 776 of the family's 1533-position model. The record is from RNAcentral.